Molecule: ribosomal RNA, 646 nt
Filed under: bacterium EK-I77
Lineage: Bacteria
Description: partial 16S ribosomal RNA
Rfam family: Bacterial small subunit ribosomal RNA
Source: RNAcentral
UUGGGGGGAUUCUACACUGCAGUCGAACGGAGUUCUUCUUCGCUGUGAGAGACGCGUCUAAUGUGCGCAUGUGUUAUCUAACCUUUAUCUGGGGAAAACCCUUUCGAAAGUAAGAUUAUUACGUGUAGUAUAAUGCUUGCUAUCAAUUAUUAUUGAAAACUCUGGUGGAUAGAGGUGGGGAUGUGCGAUAUUAGAGAGUUGGUGAGGUAGCUCCUCACAAGAUCUGUGAUCUUUAGGGGUGUGAGAGGGAGAUCCCCCACUCUGACUCUGAGACAGGCAACAAAUCUUAAAAAGGGGCCGCAGUGGGUUUUUUGAAUGGGGGUGAGAGCCUGAUCCAGUGAUGCCGCGAGAACGAGACCUUCCUAUGGUUUGAAUUUUUUUUUAGGAAAGAAACGGUGUAGUCUCGAGUAUCCCGCUGUAGUGACUCUACGAAGAAUAAACACCGUCUAUCUAUGUGGGACCAGCCGCGGAAAUACGGGGGGGUGGAAGUAUUAUUCGUAAAUACUGGGCGUAAAGCCCGCGCGGGGGGUUUUUGUGACACUGCCGGGAUCCCAUCGCGCUCACUCUGAAUUUUGCGUGAUACGCUGCAUGGCUAGAAACUUGCAAAAGGGGGGUAGUAAUUUUUCGUAGCGGUGAAAUGCGUAGA